This is a non-coding RNA of Paramuricea clavata, 535 nucleotides long. The record is from the annotation of a GenBank genome assembly. Lineage: Eukaryota; Metazoa; Cnidaria; Anthozoa; Malacalcyonacea; Plexauridae.
CUUGUGUGAUGUAUGUCAACUUGGCCAGGAUGAGUAGAAGCUGGCAUUCCUCAGUGCUGGAGGUUGAAGUGGCGUUGAACAAUGGUGUGGCACAGGUUGAACGAUGGUGUGUUAGGUUGUCUGGAUGGUACACCAUCAGUUGUGAUUUGACAAGCCAUGCAUGGCUGAUUGAUUGAAUUAAUUAAUGUGUGUUUAGAUCAGCUUUUGGGCUAUCUGUCACUGUUAGACUAUGGUGUUAUGGCUUGCUUCUUGCCCGCUCUGUUUUGUCUUUCGUGCAGCAUCUGUUACGACUGAACAUUGUAGCAAUCUCUUCCAAACUUGGCACAAACGAAAUCGGAUGAUGAAUACAGAUGGUUAACAAUGGAAUUGAGUUACUAAGUCUAUUACGCAGGCUAGAUGGCAGUCUGCAUAUUUCAUCCUUCAAUCUUCGCCUCUUUUCUGCAUGCUAGGCUAGCAUCUCUUAAUGGAAAGUGUAGAGGCCUUUCUGUAACUUUCUGUAUUUCUUGCCUUCAAAAUUAUCGGUCUUGACGCAGCC